GGGGUUGUGGCUCAGUGUUAGAGUACUCACCUAGCACAUGUGAGGCACUAGGUUCAAUCCUCAGCACCA
This 69-nucleotide transfer RNA is filed under the name Marmota monax (woodchuck). RNAcentral's name for it is "tRNA.Ala". Lineage: Eukaryota; Metazoa; Chordata; Mammalia; Rodentia; Sciuridae. The record is from RNAcentral.